This 465-nucleotide ribosomal RNA is filed under the name uncultured bacterium. RNAcentral describes it as "partial 16S ribosomal RNA". It matches the Rfam family "Bacterial small subunit ribosomal RNA", at positions 338 to 795 of the family's 1533-position model. The record is from RNAcentral.
CCUACGGGGGGCAGCAGUAGGGAAUCUUCCGCAAUGGACGAAAGCCUGAUGGAGCGACGCCGCGUGAGGGAUGAAGGUCUUCGGAUCGUAAACCUCUGUCAGCAGGGAAGAACGGUCACUGUGCUAAUCAGCAGUGAAUUGACGGUACCUGCUUAGAAAGUACCGGCUAACUCCGUGCCAGCAGCCGCGGUAAUACGUAGGUGGCAAGCGUUAUCCGGAUUUAUUGGGUGUAAAGGGCGUGCAGGCGGGGACACAAGUCAGAUGUGAAAACCAUGGGCUCAACCUGUGACCUGCAUUUGAAACUGUGUAUCUUGAGUACUGGAGAGGCGGACGGAACUCCAAGUGUAGCGGUGGAAUGCGUAGAUAUUAGGAGGAACACCAGUGGCGAAGGCGGUCUGCUGGACAGCAACUGACGCUGAGGCGCGAAAGCGUGGGGAGCAAACAGGAUUAGAUACCCCUGUAGUC